CAGUCGCCGCGGGAAAACGAAGGUGGCAAGCGUUGUCCGGAAUUAUUGGGCGUAAAGGGCUCGCAGGCGGUUUCUUAAGUCUGAUGUGAAAGCCCCCGGCUCAACCGGGGAGGGUCAUUGGAAACUGGGAAACUUGAGUGCAGAAGAGGAGAGUGGAAUUCCACGUGUAGCGGUGAAAUGCGUAGAGAUGUGGAGGAACAUCAGUGGCGAAGGCGACUCUCUGGUCUGUAACUGACGCUGAGGAGCGAAAGCGUGGGGAGCAAACAGGAUUAGAUACCCGCGUAGUCCCUGUCUCUUAUAC
This 301-nucleotide ribosomal RNA is filed under the name uncultured bacterium. RNAcentral's name for it is "partial 16S ribosomal RNA". It matches the Rfam family "Bacterial small subunit ribosomal RNA", at positions 509 to 807 of the family's 1533-position model. The record is from RNAcentral.